This is a long non-coding RNA of Bufo bufo (common toad), 742 nucleotides long. RefSeq lists it as uncharacterized. Lineage: Eukaryota; Metazoa; Chordata; Amphibia; Anura; Bufonidae. The transcript has 4 exons. The record is from RefSeq and is a predicted model, not a curated record.
CUGUUACAAAUUCAGUACGGAUCAAAGAGGAGCUGGAUGUCAAUAAGAUCCAACAAGAGGGCAGGAGUAUUGUAUAUAGAGGUGGAAGCUGGAGGAAGAAAGAAGAAAGGGAAUUAUAAGAGGACGCCCCACAUAAGAGAAUUCAAGGUUUUUGUAAAUGCAACAACGUAACACAGAACAUGGGGCUUAAAAUAUAUACUUUUUCCUUGGAUUAUUAUCUGGCUUUUAUUCUUAUUGGAUCUCAGCUGUGGAGCAAUUCUGUCUGUGAACGGAACCCUGGAUAUAAUAUAUAUACAAGUCCAUCGGUGAUGGUGCAGCGAGGUCUCUGUGUCCAUGUUCCAUGCUCAUUUACCGUGGACAGUGAUGUGCGGUUAUCCAUAUCUACCACUGGUAUAUGGUAUCAUCUCUACAAUGGGAAUGGACAUCCUGUUGCUUUUAAAAACAUUUCUGUACAUCGGACAUUAGGACGCUUCUUUCUGACCGGAAAUGUGUACAGCGGAGACUGCUCAUAUUCCAUAGAAGACCCAUUGCCUACAGAUGAGGGAAGAUAUUUUUUUAGAGUUGAAGAUGAUGAUCCCGUAAAGUUCAGCUAUCAGGAUAUCCAGCCUUAUGUGGAUGUAACCGAUCUCACAGAUAAACCUACCAUCUCCUCUACAAGGCUGGUGGAUGGGGAGGAGGUGACUUUGACCUGUACAAGCCCUGGUAGAUGCUGGAAUAUAAAACCACAGAUUACAUGGGAAGG